RNAcentral lists this ribosomal RNA (819 nucleotides) under uncultured bacterium. RNAcentral's name for it is "bacterial SSU rRNA". It matches the Rfam family "Bacterial small subunit ribosomal RNA", at positions 8 to 821 of the family's 1533-position model. The record is from RNAcentral.
AGAGUUUGAUCCUGGCUCACAGUGAACGCUGGCGGCGUGGCUAAGGCAUGCAAGUCGCACGGGGCAGCAAUGCCCAGUGGCGCAAGGGUGAGUAAUGGAUAGCUAACGUACCCUGAACUGGGGCAUAGCCAGUCGAAAGACUGGGUAAUUCCCCAUGAAGUCGCGAUGCGGCAUUGUGUUGCGACCAAAGAUGAGGACCGCAAGGCUUAUCGGUUUUGGAGCGGGCUAUCUGCUAUCAGCUUGUUGGCGAGGUAACGGCUCACCAAGGCUAUGACGGCUAGCUGGUCUGAGAGGACGACCAGCCACAUUGGCACUGAGACACUGGCCAGACUCCUACGGGGGGCUGCAGCAACGAAUCUUCCCCAAUGCCGGAAACGGUGAGGGAGCGACGCCGCGUGAAGGACGAAGUUCUUCGGAAUGUAAACUUCUGUAAGGGUCAUGAAAGCCUUAGGGCUAAUAUCCCAAAAGGUUGAUCUGACCCCUAAAAGGGGCGGCUAACUCUGUGCCAGCAGCCGCGGUAAUACAGAGGCCCCAAGCGUUACUGAGAAUCACUGGGUUUAAAGGGUGCGUAGGUGGUCCGUUAAGUUCGUUGUGAAAGCCCUGGGCUCAACCCAGGAACUGCUUCGAAUACUGGCGGACUUGAGGCCGGUAUGGGUCACUGGAACUGACGGUGGAGCGGUGAAAUGCGUAGAUAUCGUCAGGAACGCCAAUGGUGAAGACAGGUGACUGGGCCGGAUCUGACACUGAGGCACGAAAGCGUGGGGAGCGAACGGGAUUAGAUACCCCGGUAGUCCACGCCCUAAACGAUGCAGACUAGAC